Vombatus ursinus (common wombat) is the source of this 2030-nucleotide long non-coding RNA. RefSeq lists it as uncharacterized. The record is from RefSeq and is a predicted model, not a curated record. The transcript has 3 exons. Lineage: Eukaryota; Metazoa; Chordata; Mammalia; Diprotodontia; Vombatidae.
GUGUUGCAGAUUCCCCAUGCGGGAGAGACUGAAAAGCCUGCUUCCAAGAGCUUUAUGAUGAUGCUGGAACAUGUCUAGGCAUUCUCUAAUCAGUUCUGGUUCACUAACCUUGUGUCUAGAGGAAAGCUGUUCAACUAGGAAUACGUCAUAAAGUGGCCAUCAGAGCCUCAGUCGCUUUUCCUUCGGCUACUUUUGUGGUUUGGUUCCUUUGCCCAUGGUGUCCAGUGAGGAGCGAUGCUGUAAAGAAGGUUAAUCUGAAGUCACUGACAAUGCGAGUUUCCAAAGAUCAGGACACUGAGCCUACAGGAAUCCCAGAGUGAUAGACCAUGCCGAGUUCUGCAACCAGAGGAGCAUUGAUGGCCUCAGAAACAAAGAGUGACCUUUUAGACCCAAUCCAGGAUUCUUGUCCCAACCAGGAGCAGCAGUUCCACACUGACUUCUUCAGCAAUAUUACAUCUAGAUUCUUUUGAUCUAAUACUCUUCACAAGGCUGAUUGAGAAUUGGUAAAGGAAACCUUCCUCACAAUUAGAAGUACCUCAAAGUAUGGUGGGCAGCCUCAGGAGGCCAGCCAUGGAGGACAUUACUUCCUCUCCAGGAUAGCUGGACUUUUAGAGAGGAAGGACUUACUUCCUCAUUGCUGCUUCAAGAAAAGACACACAUAGUUCCAGACUCUUACCGGGAAGAGACCCAUGGACAUCAGAAAGCAAACAGAGAAGCUGGAUCCUCAACAUAUCCCUAAUUUCCUUAGUCUCUCUCAAGAUUUUGAGAUGGAGGUCUCUCAUUCCCAGGGGGAGAGUUCAUUCACUCUAUGUAUUGCCCAUAUUCAGCCCAUAUAACUUCUCCAAUUUCUAUUUGUUAUUUGCUUGUAUAAGUGAGUAUAUUUGCUGUUGACUAUUUAUGAUGGUCUUUUGUACAACUGAAAUUUGGUGGGAAGAAGUCAAGUCUGAAUAGAAGCUUAGAGGAACCUGUCCCUUUUAAAAGAUAAUACUCAAGAAAGUGGCUUGAAUUUAAAAAAAAUUCCCCUAGAUUAACAGUGGUGUGUGUGUGGCGGGGUGGGGGCACUGUGAAGCUUAAUAUAAUUCUAGUCUGGGACUCCUUUUUAUGAAAGAACAGCACGGUUAUCCUACAGCCUCUUCUCUAGGCAGGAAUCAAAGUCUCCCUUAGAGCUGCAUGGGUAAGAUCCCAGAGAUAUUUAUCCAUGCUUCCCAGAAGCCACAUUUAUACAACCCAUAUCUAUACACAUACCCCUUACAUGGGCAGCAGACCUACCCUGCCAAUUCAAUAUCCUGCCAUAAUUCCUGAAGCCUAGUGAAAACCAAUUUGACUGGUACAGCCUCAGCUUCACCCACACCCCAGGAUGCCAUAUGCCAAGGUUAAAAAACCCAGAGACUGGGCUCUAAACCUCCUCUCCCUUUUGAACCUCUUGAGGGGAUGUGUCAUUAGGAUUCAGUUCCCUGUGUCCCUGUCCCUCAUUCCUCACUCCUCAUUGGGCAUUUUAGAAAACACCCUCAUGAUUGAAAAAGAAAAGGAGCUAGGUCAAUUGAUAAAAGCAGUUUCCAGAGCUUUAAUGAUAGUGAAACUUUCAGAGAUCAAAGGCCAUUGAUGAGCUUGAUUUAGGGAGUAGAAAGCAAUGCUUCUGAGCCUUACUGAAAGGAUUCAAAACAGAAGUGGAGCUGGUGUAUAGUUAGCUAAUUAUACAGGCAUAUGAAAUAUCAUGGGGUAAUAGAGAGACUGUCACAAUCAAGCAGGUCACAUGAAUGUUUUUGUUUUCCAGUGCAUCUAAAAGUUGUUUAUACUAUACUGUAGUCUAUUAAGUGUGCAAUAGUAUUAUGUCCAAAAAAAUGUACAUGACAAUUUAAAAAUACCUUAUUGCUAAAAACAAAUGUUAACCAUCAUCUGAGUUUUCAGCGAAUAGUAAUCUUUUUGCUGGUGAAGGGUCUUUCCUCAAUGCUGAUUGCUGACUGAUCAGGGUGGUGGUUGCUGAAAAUUGGAGUGGCUUAUAAGACAACAAUGAAGUCUGCAGCAUCAAU